Molecule: long non-coding RNA, 457 nt
Filed under: Homo sapiens (human)
Lineage: Eukaryota; Metazoa; Chordata; Mammalia; Primates; Hominidae
Description: HSALNT0364076
Source: RNAcentral
AAGCAAGGUCCUGAAACAGGUUAUUGGAAGUUCCUGGUGAUGGCAGCCAUUCUCUGAUUUCUUGCAUUGAGCUUCCAGUUCUCAUGUGUGACAGGCAGUUGGGAAAGCAGCUGGUGGGGAAUGCAGCAGCUUCUUGACAACCGAAUCACAGCUAGUAUGAUGUAUCCUUGAACUAAACAGUCCAGUGGUCAUCCCCUGACUGCUGCUGCCCCAGCUCAUCCAAUCAUUUGCUUCUUUGAUUCCUGGGCCAGGUGCAUAUUUUGCUCCGUGAUGAAGGACAUCAACAAGUUUCUGUUGCAGAAUACCCCCAACAUUCAAACUGGAGUUUGGAGGUGAACCAAGGUUCCACGCUGACUUCAUGAAAUAAAUUAAAUAAAAUGAAAAUUUACCAGUGUGCAGAUUCCCAGGCUGCAAUCAAGAACUGCUGGAUCUCUGUUUUCAAGAGAGAACUUCAUCA